Molecule: long non-coding RNA, 1686 nt
Filed under: Homo sapiens (human)
Lineage: Eukaryota; Metazoa; Chordata; Mammalia; Primates; Hominidae
Description: non-protein coding lnc-CDC27-2:3
Source: RNAcentral
ACUGAAUGGUUCGCUAGGUUUCACAACACGGAGGACACUGACAAACUUGAAAGGAGCCAUCUGGGUGGGGUGGUAAGGAGACAAUGUCGUCAGAGUGAGUACAAGAGAGAACGGGGUAAAGAAAUUGAACCCAGCCAGUAGGGUAGGCUCUUUCAAGGAGUUACGUUGUUAAGAGAAAUAAGGCAGUAGCUGAGAGGAAAAUGGGGCUGUGAGGCUUUAAGAUGAGAAAAACAAAGGCGUCUUCACUGAAGCAUGACUCUGUAUGACAUCCUUUCACAAAAUACCUUCCUCUUUCCUCUCAUGCCACAUUUCCCUCACAAGCCGCCCGACUCGCUCGCUUUUCUCUCGCCAGAGGGACUGAAAACGUCAUUAAUACCAACUGCAUACACAACUCCAUUGCAGCUACUGCCAUUCAUGAACGUUCAAACUUUCGUCACCCUGUUUUCAUAUUUGUGUAACAAACGUCGAGUGAACGAACCUCCACCUCUUCCAAGAACCCACGCUGAGGAGGCUUCCCAUAGACCCUGCUCUUACGAAGCCAACGACUUCUACAGGAAGAAAGAGGACCUGUAAGCUAGCGAGUGAACGACCCGCAAGAUGGAAAUGAGUGUGCUAAUAGAGGUCUCCGCCUCCCGCUGAAGGAGCAGGGAAGUGACACCACCCCCGGGACCGCCAGCCUUCUACAACAACCACCAUUUCUGAGGAACCACCUGAUCAGUCUCAGUCACCCUUCAAUCUGCCCCUUUGUCCCAACUCCUCAGCGGGUCUCGCCUCCCCUCCCCACCUCUGUCCCCCAAGGGUCCCACUACCGGCCCGAGCUGCCCUCCCUUCCUCUCGGCUGGAGGCCCCCGCGCUCUCUGUGGUCAGCCCCUGCCGCCCCUCGGGCGGCGCUGCUCUAGCUCUGCAGCCUUCCCAGGAUCCCGCGCCGCGCGGCCCCGCCCCCGCGGUCACCUGACCGAGCCCGACGCUCCGCCCACCGACCACCCCGAGCGGAGCGGGCCCAGGACCCUAUCGGCUGUCGAGCCGGUGCUGCCGCGGCCACCGCCACCGCCCAGGGGCUCCGGGGCUGUGGGGAGCGGCUGAACUCAAUACCGCCUCCGCGCUGACUGGAAGGCACUGCGGCCGCGCCUGCCUGCCCCACCUCGUAAGGGCCUGUGACCUCACGAGGCCAGCCGCCGGGCGCUGCAUUCGAGCGGUGGGGCUCCUGUCCGUGCGCUUUCCUCCCGCAGCCCCGGCCGGGAUUCCGCCCUCCGUCCUUGCCACCCGCUCGCCACUCUUCCCUAAUCGCUGUUCAUUCUCCGGUGCGCUGUCCCGCCAUGGUCUGACCCCACUUCAAUCUUACCUUCGGUCCGUCCUUUGAACACCCCGACCCCCGACCCCUUUCUUCCAAAACAUUCCAUCCUUCUUGGCUUCUGCUACUCAAUAAUGGACAGCAGCUCGAAGGCCAUGUGUCCCACGGCUUUGCUGAAAUUUGUCUCGGGUUGCCUUUAAGGAGACUGUCGUUUCCUUUUGAAAGAGAUACUUUGGUUGGUUUGGUUUUCUUCUGUGUGUUUGUUUUUCCUAUGUAUUUAUCGUAUGCAGUUGGGCAAAAUACUUAACGCUCCCUGAGUCUCGAUUUUCUCAUUCUUCCAGGGUUGUGGGAAUUCAAAAAUAUAUACGUAGUGCUCAAUAAAUGUUACAAUAUUU